Molecule: unclassified non-coding RNA, 335 nt
Filed under: rhizosphere metagenome
Description: partial ribosomal RNA internal transcribed spacer region
Source: RNAcentral
GUAGGUGAACCUGCGGAAGGAUCAUUAACACGAAUUUUAUCCAAUAUCAAAACCAAACGUGAACUUUUCCCCUCCCUAUUCAAUCAGGGAUCAUAAUAUUGACUAUUAUGCUCUCUUUUGUUUAGGCUAACCUUUUUUACUCUAUAUAGACAUAGUUCUUCUGAUCUAUUGCUAUAUAUAGUUUUAACCCCUAACAACUUAACUCUAGUUUGUCGAGUUUCUUGGAUCCUCUUCAACUACUAACACUAAAAAUGUCAUUUCUCUUAAUUGAGUAUGGCUUUUUUCGAUAUUACGAAAAUUAAGAACAACUCUUAACAAUGGAUAUCUUGGUUCUC